Molecule: long non-coding RNA, 273 nt
Organism: Suricata suricatta (meerkat)
Lineage: Eukaryota; Metazoa; Chordata; Mammalia; Carnivora; Herpestidae
Exons: 2
Source: RefSeq, a predicted model, not a curated record
GGGAAGCCAUUCCCGGCAGUGGAUCUGGCUGCAGAACCCUUAUCACUUAUGUGGAUUCUUGGUUUUCACUAUUUUACAGGGCUACUUGCCUUAGGUUUCGUUUGAAUCCUUAAAGCAGCAGAAGGGAGCCAUCCCGGAGCACUGCCAAAACAGCAAAAACCGUGCAGCGACUGACUUUCGCCAAAGUUCGAUGGUGUUCCCUUAUGAUGAAGAGCGAAAUUAAAGUCAGAGUCCACAACAAGUGGAAGAGAAUAAAGUUUAAACUGAGAAAAA